CUCCACAAAAAAAUAUCAUUUCACCGCCAUCCACAAGUGGGCGGUUACUUAUUCUCAAAAUGGCCAAAUGUCUUUCCUCUCCAACAGGCAAGCUCCAUUCGAAUUAUGUUAGGGGUUCUUUUGCUUUUGCCAGAUCUAGAGAGAUACUACAAGUUGUCCGUCCCAGAUUCCAUCGCCGCGGCCAUCUGGUUCACCGGUGUAGCCUUCCCAACAUCAAAUUCCCCAAACUCAUAUUUAGAUUUUUACCAAAACUUCACACAACCCUCAAUUCAGCGAUGGUAGCUGCGAGUGCAACCCCAAUCAAGGGCGCCGGAGGCAGGCAAGGCGGCAACAGGAAGAAAUAUACCGAAAUCCGUCAAGGUGACGCUUCAAUUCCGGGUUGUGCGCUUGGCUCGUUUUCUGAAGAAGGGGCGCUACGCCCAGGCCCAGCGUAUGGGCACCGGAGCGCCCAUCUAUAUGGCUUCUGUGCUCGAGUACCUUGCCGCUGAGGUGUUGGAAUUGGAAGGUCCGUGUUGCAUAUCAGGGGGUUCCAGGAGCUUAUAGCGAGGCUGCUACUUUAAAAGCAUAUCCAAAAUGUGAGACUUCCAUGUGACCACUUUGAACUUUUAUUUUUAUAGGUGAAUGAUUUUGUAAUGAAGAUAGAUAGCAGGGAUAUAGAAGUGUUAAAUGCCUUUACCAUGUGGAGAUAUCUUUGGUGUUGAUUGCACUAAUAUAUGGUUUUCUGAAUUUGUGAUGCAUUUUGUCUUUGUGGCUGUAACACAGAGAAUUAGGUUUGCGACGACCCUUUGUUAUUUCUAAUAGAAUUUGCUAUUUCACUUUUGCAGGAGAAGUCAAGGCCAAAAUAAAAAAGGUAUAAUAUAAUCUGUUCUGCACUUUUGGUGUCUGCAUGUGUAGCCAAUUAUAUUGUUCAAGGAGGCAUUAUGAGAUAAGUAUUGCAUGUUAGAGAUUCUUAUAGUUUCUCAGUUAUCUCUGUAUGCAUUAGAACUUCUUGAUGUUACUACUGAGCAAUAUAUUUCACUAGAAUGCGAGUUCUUUUAGAAUCUAUGGGGUUUAUUUAACAGUUAAUCAUGACAGAAGCCCAAGUCUUGCGUUAUUCCUGCUGUUGAGGUUGAACAUCCUGGAUGUUCAUUCAAUCAUCAUCCUAAGAGCCAUCAGGAUGCCUUAGCUCGUGCUGUUGCAGAUGAAAUGCAGAAAAUUUACCAACAUGAAUUGGGGCCUCAGCCCAUCCCUUUAGUUGUCCCUGGUGAAGCUAUUGAUGAAUAUGUUCGUACUUCAUCCCGAACUGGUCACUUGAAGUGGAAAUGAAUAUUGUCCCUCCAUAUUCAUGUGCUUUCACUUAUUUGCAUAUGAAGUUUUCAUGCACUUCCCUCUUAUAUGCGUCAGAAAUAUUUCCUUGAGGCAGAUGCGGAUGAUGGAACUGAUGAUGAUGAUGAUGAACAAAAUGAAAAUCAGGCUGAUGAUGGAGAUGUGGAUACAGAAAAGAG
Molecule: RNA transcript, 1484 nt
Organism: Salvia miltiorrhiza (redroot sage)
Lineage: Eukaryota; Viridiplantae; Streptophyta; Magnoliopsida; Lamiales; Lamiaceae
Gene name: ribosome biogenesis protein NOP53-like
Exons: 3
Source: RefSeq, a predicted model, not a curated record